RNAcentral lists this ribosomal RNA (488 nucleotides) under uncultured bacterium. RNAcentral describes it as "partial 16S ribosomal RNA". It matches the Rfam family "Bacterial small subunit ribosomal RNA", at positions 28 to 507 of the family's 1533-position model. The record is from RNAcentral.
GACGAACGCUGGCGGCGUGCUUAACACAUGCAAGUCGAACGGAAAGGCCCUGCUUUUGUGGGGUGCUCGAGUGGCGAACGGGUGAGUAACACGUGAGUAACCUGCCCUUGACUUUGGGAUAACUUCAGGAAACUGGGGCUAAUACCGGAUAGGAGCUCCUGCUGCAUGGUGGGGGUUGGAAAGUUUCGGCGGUUGGGGAUGGACUCGCGGCUUAUCAGCUUGUUGGUGGGGUAGUGGCUUACCAAGGCUUUGACGGGUAGCCGGCCUGAGAGGGUGACCGGCCACAUUGGGACUGAGAUACGGCCCAGACUCCUACGGGAGGCAGCAGUGGGGAAUAUUGCACAAUGGGCGCAAGCCUGAUCCAGCAAUGCCGCGUGCGGGAAGAAGGCCUUCGGGUUGUAAACCGCUUUUGGCAGGAACGAAACGGUGUCCGCUAAUACCGGGCGCUAAUGACGGUACCUGCAGAAUAAGCACCGGCUAACUACGUG